Molecule: ribosomal RNA, 409 nt
Filed under: uncultured Gammaproteobacteria bacterium
Lineage: Bacteria; Pseudomonadati; Pseudomonadota; Gammaproteobacteria
Description: bacterial SSU rRNA
Rfam family: Bacterial small subunit ribosomal RNA
Source: RNAcentral
GAGUUUGAUCCUGGCUCAGAGUGAACGCUGGCGGCAGGCCUAACACAUGCAAGUCGAACGGCAGCACAGUCCCGCAAGGGAUGGGUGGCGAGUGGCGGACGGGUGAGGAAUACAUCGGAAUCUACCUUGUCGUGGGGGAUAACGUAGGGAAACUUACGCUAAUACCGCAUACGACCUACGGGUGAAAGCGGCGGACCGCAAGGCGUCGCGCGAUUGGAUGAGCCGAUGUCCGAUUAGCUAGUUGGCGGGGUAAGAGCCCACCAAGGCGACGAUCGGUAGCUGGUCUGAGAGGAUGAUCAGCCACACUGGAACUGAGACACGGUCCAGACUCCUACGGGAGGCAGCAGUGGGGAAUAUUGGACAAUGGGCGCAAGCCUGAUCCAGCCAUGCCGCGUGUGUGAAGAAGGCC